ACUCAAAGGAAUUGACGGGGACCCGCACAAGCGGUGGAGCGUGUUCUUUAAUUCGAUGAUAAGCGAAGAACCUUACCAGGGCUUGACAUCCUUGUAAUUUCUCCGAAAGGAGAAAGUGCCUUCGGGAUCAAGUGACAGGUGUUGCAUGGCCGUCGUCAGCUCGUGUCGUGAGAUGUUUGGUUAAGUCCAUCAACGAGCGCAACCCUUAUGAUUAGUUGUAUUUUUCUAAUUAGACUGCCUCGGUAACGGGGAGGAAGGAGGGGAUGAUGUCAGGUCAUUAUUACCCUUACGUCCUGGGCUAGAAACGCGCUACAAUGGCUGGUACAAAGGGCUGCCAACCCGCAAGGGGGAGCAAAUCCCAUCAAAGCCAGUCCCAGUUCGGAUUGCAGGCUGAAAUUCGCCUGCAUGAAGUCGGAAUCGCUAGUAAUCGUAGGUCAGCACACUACGGUGAAUCCGUUCCCGGGUCUUGUACACACCGCCCGU
This 483-nucleotide ribosomal RNA is filed under the name uncultured bacterium. RNAcentral's name for it is "bacterial SSU rRNA". It matches the Rfam family "Bacterial small subunit ribosomal RNA", at positions 899 to 1397 of the family's 1533-position model. The record is from RNAcentral.